Molecule: long non-coding RNA, 600 nt
Filed under: Numida meleagris (helmeted guineafowl)
Lineage: Eukaryota; Metazoa; Chordata; Aves; Galliformes; Numididae
Description: lncRNA (ENSNMEG00000001859.1)
Source: RNAcentral
CCCUCCUUUAGAUAUUGAAAGGCUGCUACUUCUCGGGAGGUGCACUGUGUUGUCUGCCUUAACAAGAAUUGCAUUCAGAAGAUCCUUUCAGUUAACUGAAAACAUGCACCAGUAAGUGGAUGAAGACAAAGGACAAGGAAAACAAAACACUGUUAGCAGAUUUGGACUACUCCUGGAUAUGGGGCAGUUCUCAGUCCAUGAACAAGAAGAGUCCUCAGCAGGGCUGGAAGCAGAGGGCUACAGGGAGAUCUGUGGGCAGAUUAAUCACCCAAGCUCUCAGGUCAACGUGAUGGAGCUGAUCUUGUUAGCGUCUUCCUCAGCAUCAGAAGAAAAAUCUGAAAAUCAUCAGAUGAGGAGGAGACUGAAACAAAGUCUCCAUGAAGAUGGAUGGCUUUUCCUGAUCCUGAGAAGAAAAAAAAGAUUAAAAAAAAAAAAAAAGGAAAAAAGCAAAAAAAACAACAAUCUGGUGAGUGCAAAAAGCAAAAAGCACUUGACAGAAACAAGUGGUUCUAUAAGCUCUGUGUCACCCCAGGGCCGUUGCUGACAUCUGCGAAUUCAGCCAUCUGAUUCUGAAGCCUUUUAUGCAGGGAGGUAACUAAG